Molecule: ribosomal RNA, 477 nt
Rfam family: 5.8S ribosomal RNA (bases 123-276)
UGCGGAAGGAUCAUUAGAGAUGCCGAAAGGCUUUCCAAACACCCGUGCACCGCCCGACGCCCGCGAGGGUCGAGGGCCACACACAUACAGCUGUCAUGAACGUAAUCUAUGAUAACAAAUACAACUUUCAACAACGGAUCUCUUGGCUCUCGCAUCGAUGAAGAACGCAGCGAAAUGCGAUAAGUAAUGUGAAUUGCAGAAUUCAGUGAAUCAUCGAAUCUUUGAACGCACCUUGCGCCUUUUGGUAUUCCGAAAGGCAUGCCUGUUUGAGUGUCAUGUAGACUCAACCCCGUGGGUUUUUCCCUCGGACGUUGGAUUUGGGCCCUGCCUCUCGGCUGGCCUCAAAAGUGUUAGCGGUGACCGCAGACGUUGUAAGCACUCGUCGUAUCGGGCCCGCUCCUAACCCCAUCUAUUUGCACUCUGACCUCAAAUCAGGUAGGGCUACCCGCUGAACUUAAGCAUAUCAAUAAGCCGGAG